GACGAACGCUGGCGGCGUGCUUAACACAUGCAAGUCGAGCGGUAAGGCCCUUUCGGGGGUACGACGAGCGGCGAACGGGUGAGUAACACGUGGGUGACCUGCCCUCAGCUCUGGGAUAAGCCUGGGAAACCGGGUCUAUACUGGAUAUGACUCCAUGACGCAUGUUGUGGGGUGGAAAGCCUUGUGCGGCUGAGGAUGGGCCCG
RNAcentral lists this ribosomal RNA (204 nucleotides) under uncultured bacterium. RNAcentral's name for it is "partial 16S ribosomal RNA". It matches the Rfam family "Bacterial small subunit ribosomal RNA", at positions 28 to 233 of the family's 1533-position model. The record is from RNAcentral.